This 1341-nucleotide ribosomal RNA is filed under the name uncultured bacterium. RNAcentral describes it as "partial 16S ribosomal RNA". It matches the Rfam family "Bacterial small subunit ribosomal RNA", at positions 28 to 1381 of the family's 1533-position model. The record is from RNAcentral.
GACGAAUGCUGGCGGCGUGCUUAACACAUGCAAGUCGAACGGUAAGGCUCCAGCUUGCUGGGGUACACGAGUGGCGAACGGGUGAGUAACACGUGGGUGACCUGCCCUGCACUUCGGGAUAAGCCUGGGAAACUGGGUCUAAUACCGGAUAGGACCGCACCGUGAGGGUGUGGUGGAAAGUUUUUUCGGUGUGGGAUGGGCCCGCGGCCUAUCAGCUUGUUGGUGGGGUAAUGGCCUACCAAGGCGGCGACGGGUAGCCGGCCUGAGAGGGUGGACGGCCACAUUGGGACUGAGACACGGCCCAGACUCCUACGGGAGGCAGCAGUGGGGAAUAUUGCACAAUGGGCGGAAGCCUGAUGCAGCGACGCCGCGUGGGGGAUGACGGCCUUCGGGUUGUAAACUCCUUUCACCAUCGACGAAGGGUUUCUGACGGUAGAUGGAGAAGAAGCACCGGCUAACUACGUGCCAGCAGCCGCGGUAAUACGUAGGGUGCGAGCGUUGUCCGGAAUUACUGGGCGUAAAGAGCUCGUAGGUGGUUUGUCGCGUCGUCUGUGAAAUUCCGGGGCUUAACUCCGGGCGUGCAGGCGAUACGGGCAUAACUUGAGUACUGUAGGGGAGACUGGAAUUCCUGGUGUAGCGGUGAAAUGCGCAGAUAUCAGGAGGAACACCGGUGGCGAAGGCGGGUCUCUGGGCAGUAACUGACGCUGAGGAGCGAAAGCAUGGGGAGCGAACAGGAUUAGAUACCCUGGUAGUCCAUGCCGUAAACGGUGGGCGCUAGGUGUGGGUUUCCUUCCACGGGAUCCGUGCCGUAGCUAACGCAUUAAGCGCCCCGCCUGGGGAGUACGGCCGCAAGGCUAAAACUCAAAGGAAUUGACGGGGGCCCGCACAAGCGGCGGAGCAUGUGGAUUAAUUCGAUGCAACGCGAAGAACCUUACCUGGGCUUGACAUAUACAGGAUCGCGCCAGAGAUGGUGUUUCCCUUGUGGCUUGUAUACAGGUGGUGCAUGGUUGUCGUCAGCUCGUGUCGUGAGAUGUUGGGUUAAGUCCCGCAACGAGCGCAACCCUUGUCUUAUGUUGCCAGCACGUUGUGGUGGGGACUCGUAAGAAACUGCCGGGGUUAACUCGGAGGAAGGUGGGGAUGACGUCAAAUCAUCAUGCCCCUUAUGUCCAGGGCUUCACACAUGCUACAAUGGUCGGUACAGUGGGUUGCCAGUCCGUGAGGGCGAGCUAAUCCCGCAAAGCCGGUCUCAGUUCGGAUCGGGGUCUGCAACUCGACCCCGUGAAGUCGGAGUCGCUAGUAAUCGCAGAUCAGCAACGCUGCGGUGAAUACGUUCCCGGGCCU